Drosophila virilis is the source of this 86-nucleotide non-coding RNA. Lineage: Eukaryota; Metazoa; Arthropoda; Insecta; Diptera; Drosophilidae. The record is from Rfam.
CUGCCCUACGCACGAGUUCCACUAAUCAAGUUUUGAGCGGAUUCGAAAGUCGAAAACUUGACACGUUGAGCUCGUCCGUGGGGCGG